RNAcentral lists this long non-coding RNA (579 nucleotides) under Equus caballus (horse). RNAcentral describes it as "lncRNA (ENSECAG00000051890.1)". The record is from RNAcentral. Lineage: Eukaryota; Metazoa; Chordata; Mammalia; Perissodactyla; Equidae.
AAUUGUAAGAGGGCUUUUUCUCUCACAUAGGUAACAGAUGCAAGACUCUGAUGAGCUCUGAGAGCGGGAUAUCUGUGCCCUAGAUUUUUGUUUCCUACUUAAAAGUCAACUGACCGGGAACCUGAGAAGAUUAUCCCUGAGCUAACAUCUGCUGCCAUUCCUCCUCUUUUUGCUGAGGAAGACUGGUCCUGCGCUAACAUCCAUGCCCAUCAUCCUCUGCUUUAUAUGUUGGAUGCCUGCCACAGCAUGGCUUGAUAUGUGGUGCAUAUGUCACCCCAUGGGAUCCGAACCAGUGAACCAGGGCCAUCAAAGUGGAGAGCUCAAACUUGACCUCUAUACCACAGAGCCAGCCUCAAUUUGCUCAGAUUUCCAGUAGGGAAAGAAGAAUGUUCUUUGGCUAAACAAAUAAAGAGGAAGUGACAAUAUACCAGUUCCAAGUCUAGGCCAAGGCGGCUUGUAUUUUGCCAAAUAAUGAUUCCCUUUGCAGGUGCUGCUCUUCCAGCUUAGGGCCAUGUCUGAAUACAUGUGGGGAAUGGCCUGACCUAGCUAAUCUUGGUCAAAUCCAAGCGCAAAGUAGAG